UUAAGCUAUAAAGAGCACAGGGUGGAUGCCUAGGCACUGAGAGCCGAUGAAGGACGUGAUAAGCUGCGAAAAGCCACGGGGAGGAGCAAAUAUCCUUUGAGCCGUGGAUAUCCGAAUGGGGGAACCCACUUAAGUAAACCUUAAGUACUGACAAGCCAAUACAUAACUUGCCAGAGGGAACCCGGGGAACUGAAACAUCUAAGUACCCGGAGGAAGAGAAAGAAACAUCGAUUUCCUUAGUAGCGGCGAGCGAAAGGGAAAGAGCCCAAACCGAGAGAUUUAUCUUUCGGGGUUAGGACUGCAUAAUUGAUCUGCGAUUGAUAGGAGAAUGGUCUGGGAAGUCCAGCAGGAAAGCGUGAAAGCCGCGUAUCCGAAAUUGAAAGCAGCAAGGCAGUAUCCAGAGUACCACGAGACACGAGGAACCUUGUGGGAAUGAGCGGAGACCACUCCGUAAGGCUAAAUACUACUCAGUGACCGAUAGCGCAUAGUACUGUGAAGGAAAGGUGAAAAGGACCCCGGGAGGGGAGUGAAAGAGAACCUGAAACCCUGUGUUUACAAGCUGUCGGAGCACGUUAGUGCGACGGCGUACUUUUUGUAGAACGGUCCGGCGAGUUAUGAUACGCGGUAAGGUUAAGGACUUAAGGUCCGGAGCCGAAGCGAAAGCGAGUGUUAAGAGCACGAGGAAUCACGUAUCAUAGACCCGAAACCGGGUGAUCUAUCCAUGUCCAGGAUGAAGCUGCCGUAAGAGGUAGUGGAGGUCCGAACACACAUCCGUUGAAAAGGGUGGUGAUGAGGUGUGGAUAGGGGAGAAAUUCCAAUCGAACCCGGAGAUAGCUGGUUCUCCUCGAAAUAGCUUUAGGGCUAGCCUCGGUCAUGAGUCUUGUGGAGGUAGAGCACUGAAUUUCCUAGGGGGCGUCAAAGCCUACCGAAGAAUAUCAAACUGCGAAUGGCGGACAGAUGAUGCUGGGGAGUCAGACUGCACGAGAUAAGUUGGGUGGUCAAAAGGGAAAGAGCCCAGACCUACAGCUAAGGUCCCAAAGUGCGUGUUAAGUGGAAAAGGAUGUGGGAUUUCGAAGACAACUAGGAUGUUGGCUCAGAAGCAGCCAUACAUUCAAAGAGUGCGUAAUAGCUCACUAGUCGAGAGGUCCUGCGCCGAAAAUGUCCGGGGCUGAAACACGACACCGAAGCUUAGGAACAGAAAUGUUGGUAGAGGAGCAUUGUUAGCGGAACGAAGCCAUACCGGAAGGAGUGGUGGACUGCUAAGAAGAGAGAAUGCCGGAAUGAGUAGCGAGAUUGAAGUGAGAAUCUUCAAGGCCGAAUAUCUAAGGUUUCCAGGGUAAAGCUGAUCUGCCCUGGGUAAGUCGGGGCCUAAGGCGAGGUCGAAAGACGUAGCCGAUGGACAACAGGUUGAAAUUCCUGUACUGCGAUAUAUCAGAAAUGUGGGGACACAGAAGGAAAGUGUGAGCCGGGAAAGGAAAGACCGGUGCAAGCACAGGAGGAGGGAUACAGGCAAAUCCGUAUCCCAAUCCAAUGGUGUUACGCGGAGCGAACAAAAGUAGCGAAGCACACAGACCAUCUGUCGAGAAAAGCCGCUAUUGUGUAUACCGUACCCGUACCGUAAACCGACACAGGUGGAUGAGGAGAGAAUCCUAAGGCCGGCGGGAGAAGCAUUGUUAAGGAACUCGGCAAAAUGACCCCGUAACUUCGGGAGAAGGGGUGCUCACGCAAGUGAGCCGCAGAGAACUGGCCCAAGCAACUGUUUAGCAAAAACACAGGUCUAUGCAAAACCGAAAGGUGAGGUAUAUGGGCUGACGCCUGCCCGGUGCUGGAAGGUUAAGAGGAGAGGUUAGCGCAAGCGAAGCUUUGAAUUUAAGCCCCAGUAAACGGCGGCCGUAACUAUAACGGUCCUAAGGUAGCGAAAUUCCUUGUCGGGU
Molecule: ribosomal RNA, 1934 nt
Filed under: human gut metagenome
Description: bacterial LSU rRNA
Rfam family: Bacterial large subunit ribosomal RNA
Source: RNAcentral